CCUACGGGGGGCUGCAGUCGAGAAUCUUCGGCAAUGGGCGAAAGCCUGACCGAGCGACGCCGCGUGUGGGAUGAAGGCCUUCGGGUUGUAAACCGCUGUCAGAGGGGAGGAAUGGGCGGAGGGUAAUCUCUUCGUUUUGACCUAUCCUCAGAGGAAGUACGGGCUAAGUUCGUGCCAGCAGCCGCGGUAAGACGAACCGUACGAACGUUAUUCGGAAUCACUGGGCUUAAAGGGUGCGUAGGCGGCGCUGAAAGUUGGGUGUGAAAUCCCUCGGCUUAACCGAGGAACUGCGCCCAAAACUACAGUGCUUGAGGGAGAUAGAGGUGAGCGGAACUUAGGGUGGAGCGGUGAAAUGCGUUGAUAUCCUAAGGAACGCCAGGGGCGAAAGCGGCUCACUGGGUCUCUUCUGACGCUGAGGCACGAAAGCUAGGGUAGCGAACGGGAUUAGAUACCCCAGUAGUC
Molecule: ribosomal RNA, 462 nt
Filed under: uncultured Planctomycetaceae bacterium
Lineage: Bacteria; Pseudomonadati; Planctomycetota; Planctomycetia; Planctomycetales; Planctomycetaceae
Description: bacterial SSU rRNA
Rfam family: Bacterial small subunit ribosomal RNA
Source: RNAcentral